UGGGGGAUAUUGCACAAUGGGCGAAAGCCUGAUGCAGCGACGCCGCGUGGGGGAUGAAGGCCUUCGGGUUGUAAACUUCUUUUGCUCUGAACAAGGCAUGCUAAUGGGUGUGUUGAGUGUAGGGGUUGAUUAGCGCCGGCUAACUACGUGCCAGCAGCCGCGGUAAUACGUAGGGCGCGAGCGUUGUCCGGCAUGAUUGGGCGUAAAGGGCUUGUAGGUGGCUGGUUGCGUCUGUCGUGAAAGCUCAUGGCUUAACUGUGGGUUUGCGGUGGGUACGGGCUGGCUUGAGUGCAGUAGGGGGUGCUGGAAUUCCUGGUGUAGCGGUGGAAUGCGCAGAUAUCAGGAGGAAUACCGGUGGCGAAGGCGGGUCUCUGGGCUGUUACUGACACUGAGGAGCGAAAGCAUGGGGAGCGAACAGG
This 419-nucleotide ribosomal RNA is filed under the name bacterium. Its description in RNAcentral is "partial 16S ribosomal RNA". It matches the Rfam family "Bacterial small subunit ribosomal RNA", at positions 355 to 776 of the family's 1533-position model. The record is from RNAcentral.